RNAcentral lists this ribosomal RNA (1049 nucleotides) under Lulworthia cf. purpurea FCUL170907CP5. RNAcentral's name for it is "SSU rRNA". It matches the Rfam family "Eukaryotic small subunit ribosomal RNA", at positions 47 to 1110 of the family's 1831-position model. Lineage: Eukaryota; Fungi; Ascomycota; Sordariomycetes; Lulworthiales; Lulworthiaceae. The record is from RNAcentral.
AGCCAUGCAUGUCUAAGUAUAAGCAAUUAUACCGCGAAACUGCGAAUGGCUCAUUAAAUCAGUUAUCGUUUAUUUGAUAGUUCCCUACUACUUGGAUAACCGUGGUAAUUCUAGAGCUAAUACAUGCAAAAAACCGCGACUUCGGAAGCGGUGUAUUUAUUAGAUUAAAGACCAAUGCCCUUCGGGGCUGACUGGUGAUUCAUGAUAACUUCUCGAAUCGCACGGCCUUGCGCCGGCGAUGGUUCAUUCAAAUUUCUGCCCUAUCAACUUUCGACUUUAGCGUAGUGGGCUAAAGUGGUUACAACGGGUAACGGAGGGUUAGGGCUCGACCCCGGAGAAGGAGCCUGAGAGACGGCUACUACAUCCAAGGAAGGCAGCAGGCGCGCAAAUUACCCAAUCCCGACACGGGGAGGUAGUGACAAUAAAUACUGAUACAGGGCUCUUUUGGGUCUUGUAAUUGGAAUGAGUACAAUUUAAAUCCCUUAACGAGGAACAAUUGGAGGGCAAGUCUGGUGCCAGCAGCCGCGGUAAUUCCAGCUCCAAUAGCGUAUAUUAAAGUUGUUGUGGUUAAAAAGCUCGUAGUUGAACCUGGGCCUCGCGCAGACCGGUCCGCCUCACCGCGUGCACUGGUCCUGCCGGGGCUUUCACUAGGGGAUUCGCAUGCCCUUCACUGGGCGUGCGCGGAACCUGGACCUUUACUGUGAAAAAAUUAGAGUGUUCAAAGCAGGCCUAUGCUCGAAUACAUUAGCAUGGAAUAAUAGAAUAGGACGUGUGGUUCUAUUUUGUUGGUUAUGGGACCGCCGUAAUGAUUAAUAGGGACAGUCGGGGGCAUCAGUAUUCAAUUGUCAGAGGUGAAAUUCUUGGAUUUAUUGAAGACUAACUACUGCGAAAGCAUUUGCCAAGGAUGUUUUCAUUAAUCAGGAACGAAAGUUAGGGGAUCGAAGACGAUCAGAUACCGUCGUAGUCUUAACCAUAAACUAUGCCGACUAGGGAUCGGGCGAUGUUACUUUUUGACUCGCUGGCACCUUACGAGAAAUCAAAGUUUGUGG